AAACCAUGUCGUGGACACUUCCAUAGAGAUCCUUGAAUUGCUCCCAUGUCUCAAACAAGGAUUCAAGCUCCAUGUGAAAAAAAUGAUAAUAUUUCAUUCUGAAGCUU
Dioscorea cayenensis subsp. rotundata (Guinea yam) is the source of this 107-nucleotide small nucleolar RNA. The record is from RefSeq and is a predicted model, not a curated record. NCBI's taxonomy places the organism in Eukaryota, Viridiplantae, Streptophyta, Magnoliopsida, Dioscoreales, Dioscoreaceae.